AGGGAGCAAGGUCAGAAUGACUGAUUAUAUGAAGUUGGGUGCUCCCCAGUUUGAAACCGGUGAUGACCCGUUUGUGUACCUUGAGAGGGUCAAGGCGAUAACAGAUGAGAUAGGGGCGGAUGACAGUAGAGCCAUUCAGAUGGCUGGGUUCACACUAAAAUGCAAGAAGGCCCGUGAGUGGUUCAAGGGCUAUGUGAAACCGAGGGUGGAUAGUCU
RNAcentral lists this long non-coding RNA (216 nucleotides) under Manihot esculenta (cassava). RNAcentral's name for it is "long non-coding RNA (MESC_LNC005230)". The record is from RNAcentral. Lineage: Eukaryota; Viridiplantae; Streptophyta; Magnoliopsida; Malpighiales; Euphorbiaceae.